This is a non-coding RNA of Myodes glareolus (Bank vole), 1064 nucleotides long. NCBI's taxonomy places the organism in Eukaryota, Metazoa, Chordata, Mammalia, Rodentia, Cricetidae. The record is from RefSeq and is a predicted model, not a curated record.
UUGAAAACACCUUGUAAUAUUUAAAAGCCUGCAGCUACCAUUGUUAUGAAUUCAUUAUUGGAGUAAACAAACCCAUCUUUCAAAACUUUGUUAACCUUUCUUACAUUUUUUUUCUUCCCUUCAAUCACUAAGUUUGAGGCUAAGAGCCUGAAAUAAUUCAGAUAGGUAACACACAGUUAAGUACAUUUCACCAAAUUCUUUCUUUUGAAAUCCAACAGUUCUGGACUCCACUUGACUUCUUCGCACUGUUAUGCAUACUUCGGAAAAUGCUGAUGAACUAGAAGCAUGGCUAUACUGGCAAACCAGCGCAAAGGGAGUUAACAGUGGUCUGCCCUGUCGCUGGUCAUCAGUGUGUUCAAGAAGACGGAGCGUCUCGACCUGGUGCAGGUUCUGAUAACUAUGGAAACACCAAGAACAGGUGAGGAUGGAGUGCCUGACUCAAAUUGGGACAUUGACAUCCCUUCUUAUUAGUCUCCGGGAUCACUGAAGAAGAGAGGGUGGACAGAAUGUAAGGGCCAGAGGAGCAGGAGGUGUGGUGCAAAGAAACAUCUGAACAUGAUGUGGUGGUUGUACCCAUGAGGUCACUACAUAAGAUCAACGUGAAAUGAGGCAUGUCAACCUCUCAUCAGGGAUAGGAGAGUGAGUCAUCAGCUCUUCCUUGACCACACUGGCAUUGUUGCUGUCCUUGUUCAACUAACAUUAUGCUGAUGUUGGUGAGGCUUUACGGGAAAGGUCAUGAAUUUGAAAGAAAGUAAGGACAGGUAAGUGAGAGGAUUUAGAGAGAGGAAAGGGGAAGUGGAAACAAUGUCAUAAUCUCAAUAAAUAAAAGUAUAAAAAUGGGUAUUAACUCCCAGACCAGGUUAUUUAGAGUCAAAUUUCAAGUUUGCUAAAGAUUUUCUUACAUUAUUCUUAUUAUCACUUUAUUUCUUAGAGCUUUCAUCUGUAAAAUAGCGAUAAAUUUUAUAUCUAAAGAAUUCAAUAAAGAAGAAGGGUAACUUCUUGGGAAGAAGAAUUUAGCUGAAGAGAGGGAGGAAUGAAAGAGAACAGUAGAGGUAACAUAUGAC